CGGGGACUGUGGUUCUCUGGUGUGAGGUCAGGGAGCGCAGCUCCUCCAGGCCCUGUGAGGCCACACUGAGCUCCCCCCAAAGCUUCUCCUGGCCAGGUGCAGGGGGUGUUUGUGUGAGGCACCAGCCCUGAGCUCCCUGUCCUGCCCUCGGGAAUGUGGGAGCCUGAGAGCAGCUGGGGAGAAGGGUUUGUGGGAGCAGGCUCUGAACUGGGCAGUGGAUCCUGCUCUGAUCUCCACUGGAAUGAUGCAGCAGGCUGGGGCAGUGCCCUGGUUAAGUGCCUGGCUGCCAGAUUGUCUCAGAGAAAUUAAUUUUGGACAGAUAUUUCUGAGAGCUCAGUAAUUGAAUGUCUUGAGAUACUCCCCUUCAGAGGUAGUGCUAAUAUUAAAAACAAUACAAGAACAUUUCACAGCUCUGGGGACACUGAGCAAUGUGUUAAGGCUAUGUCAAUGCUUGAACAAUAUUUGGAAGUUGAAAGUGAACAAAGUGGCUGCCAAAAGCUCCCAUGGCAGCGUCCGAAACGCCUGAACGAAGAGCUGCUGACACCAACGAGCUCCUUCCUUGGGAUCUGUGGGAUCUCCUUUGCUUUUGGGACUUCAUCAGUAAUGUUUGAACUCACUACUAGAACUUUUCGGCUUCUCAAAGCUCAGGGGAGUUUUGCCCCUCACAAUUAACCAAGUUCAUUUCCAGUCAGGGAACCUUAAAAUGCCAAAAUCCUACUGUGUUAUAUCCCAGACCUGGGGCACUGACCUGAACCCCUACCAUUGCAGCUCUCUGGUCUCAUCUAGGAUUUGGGGUAAAGCUUUUUGGUAAUGUUUCUGACACCUACUUCAAUUCAUCAAAGGGGGAUUUAAGAUAUGAACCCUGGAGAUAUUGUCCCCUGGGGUGACACAGGCCCUGAGGACUGCGGGUGAGCGUCUUUGGGCAGCUGCACACUUCCCAAAGUUCCAGCGUGACUCUUUGCACAUCAGGACUUCCCUUCC
This is a long non-coding RNA of Vidua macroura (Pin-tailed whydah), 981 nucleotides long. RefSeq lists it as uncharacterized. The transcript is spliced from 5 exons. Lineage: Eukaryota; Metazoa; Chordata; Aves; Passeriformes; Viduidae. The record is from RefSeq and is a predicted model, not a curated record.